This 150-nucleotide small nuclear RNA is filed under the name Kryptolebias marmoratus (mangrove rivulus). Its description in RNAcentral is "U2 spliceosomal RNA (ENSKMAG00000003956.1)". It matches the Rfam family "U2 spliceosomal RNA", at positions 35 to 185 of the family's 192-position model. Rfam says of the family: U2 is a small nuclear RNA (snRNA) component of the spliceosome (involved in pre-mRNA splicing). Complementary binding between U2 snRNA (in an area lying towards the 5' end but 3' to hairpin I) and the branchpoint sequence (BPS) of the intron results the bulging out of an unpaired adenosine, on the BPS, which initiates a nucleophilic attack at the intronic 5' splice site, thus starting the first of two transesterification reactions that mediate splicing. The record is from RNAcentral. Lineage: Eukaryota; Metazoa; Chordata; Actinopteri; Cyprinodontiformes; Rivulidae.
AGUANCUGUUCUUAUCAGUUUAAUAUCUGAUACGUCCCCUACCCGGGGACCAUAUAUUAAAUUGAUUUUUGGAACAGGGAGAUGGAAUAGGGGCUUGCUCCGUCCUCUCCACGCAUCGACCUGGUAUUGCAGUUCCUCCAGGAACGGUGC